This 253-nucleotide ribosomal RNA is filed under the name uncultured bacterium. Its description in RNAcentral is "partial 16S ribosomal RNA". It matches the Rfam family "Bacterial small subunit ribosomal RNA", at positions 524 to 776 of the family's 1533-position model. The record is from RNAcentral.
GACGAAGGGGGCUAGCGUUGUUCGGAAUUACUGGGCGUAAAGCGCGUGUAGGCGGUUAUCCAAGUCGGGGGUGAAAGCCUUGAGCUCAACUCAAGAAAUGCACUCGGUACUGGGUGACUAGAGGACCGGAGAGGAUAGUGGAAUUCCCAGUGUAGUGGUGAAAUACGUAGAGAUUGGGAAGAACACCAGUGGCGAAGGCGGCUAUCUGGACGGUUUCUGACACUAAGACUCGAAAGCGUGGGGAGCAAACAGG